UCUCAGUGAUGUCAAAAAUUGAUGACGAGUCUGACGAUUUCCAUUCUUAAACCUUGAUGUGAACUGAGGCAUUUGUCUGAGAGAA
RNAcentral lists this small nucleolar RNA (85 nucleotides) under Macleaya cordata. Its description in RNAcentral is "Plant small nucleolar RNA SNOR75". It matches the Rfam family "Plant small nucleolar RNA SNOR75". Rfam says of the family: U15 is a member of the C/D class of snoRNA which contain the C (UGAUGA) and D (CUGA) box motifs. Lineage: Eukaryota; Viridiplantae; Streptophyta; Magnoliopsida; Ranunculales; Papaveraceae. The record is from Rfam by way of RNAcentral.